This 305-nucleotide ribosomal RNA is filed under the name uncultured bacterium. RNAcentral's name for it is "bacterial SSU rRNA". It matches the Rfam family "Bacterial small subunit ribosomal RNA", at positions 335 to 654 of the family's 1533-position model. The record is from RNAcentral.
UAGCCUACGGGGGGCAGCAGUGGGGAAUAUUGGGCAAUGGGCGCAAGCCUGACCCAGCAACGCCGCGUGAAGGAAGAAGGCUUUCGGGUUGUAAACUUCUUUUCUCAGGGACGAAGCAAGUGACGGUACCUGAGGAAUAAGCCACGGCUAACUACGUGCCAGCAGCCGCGGUAAUACGUAGGUGGCAAGCGUUAUCCGGAUUUACUGGGUGUAAAGGGCGUGUAGGCGGGAAAGCAAGUCAGAUGUGAAAACCACGGGCUCAACCUGUGGCCUUCAUUUGAAACUGUCUUUCUUUAGUACUGGAG